This 303-nucleotide ribosomal RNA is filed under the name uncultured bacterium. Its description in RNAcentral is "partial 16S ribosomal RNA". It matches the Rfam family "Bacterial small subunit ribosomal RNA", at positions 507 to 808 of the family's 1533-position model. The record is from RNAcentral.
AGCAGUAGCCACGGUAAUACGUAGGUGGCGAGCGUUGUCCGGAAUUAUUGGGCGUAAAGGGAGCGCAGGCGGACAUAUAAGUCCAUCUUAAAAGUGCGGGGCUCAACCCCGUGAUGGGAGAGAAACUAUCGGUCUUGAGUACAGGAGAGGAAAGCGGAAUUCCCAGUGUAGCGGCGAAAUGCGUAGAUAUUGGGAAGAACACCAGUGGCGAAGGCGGCUUUCUGGACUGCAACUGACGCUGAGGCUCGAAAGCCAGGGGAGCGAACGGGAUUAGAGACCCCCGUAGUCCCUGUCUCUUAUACC